RNAcentral lists this ribosomal RNA (468 nucleotides) under uncultured bacterium. RNAcentral describes it as "partial 16S ribosomal RNA". It matches the Rfam family "Bacterial small subunit ribosomal RNA", at positions 28 to 507 of the family's 1533-position model. The record is from RNAcentral.
GACGAACGCUGGCGGCGUGCUUAACACAUGCAAGUCGAACGGAAAGGCCCUGCUUUUGUGGGGUGCUCGAGUGGCGAACGGGUGAGUAACACGUGAGUAACCUGCCCUUGACUUUGGGAUAACUUCAGGAAACUGGGGCUAAUACCGGAUAGGAGCUCCUGCUGCAUGGUGGGGGUUGGAAAGUUUCGGCGGUUGGGGAUGGACUCGCGGCUUAUCAGCUUGUUGGUGGGGUAGUGGCUUACCAAGGCUUUGACGGGUAGCCGGCCUGAGAGGGUGACCGGCCACAUUGGGACUGAGAUACGGCCCAGACUCCUACGGGAGGCAGCAGUGGGGAAUAUUGCACAAUGGGCGGAAGCCUGAUGCAGCAACGCAGCGUGCGGGAUGACGGCCUUCAGGUUGUAAACCGCUUUCGCCUGUGACGAAGCGUGAGUGACGGUAAUGAGUAAAGAAGCACCGGCUAACUACGUG